RNAcentral lists this ribosomal RNA (442 nucleotides) under uncultured bacterium. RNAcentral describes it as "partial 16S ribosomal RNA". It matches the Rfam family "Bacterial small subunit ribosomal RNA", at positions 338 to 795 of the family's 1533-position model. The record is from RNAcentral.
ACUACGGGUGGCAGCAGUGGGGGAUAUUGCACAAUGGGGGAAACCCUGAUGCAGCGACGCCGCGUGGGCGAAGAAGUAUUUCGGUACGUAAAGCCCUAUCAGCAGGGAAGAAGAAAUGACUGUAUCAGAGUAAGAAGCACCGGCUAAAUACGUGCCAGCAGCCGCGGUAAUACGUAUGGUGCAAGCGUUAUCCGGAUUUACUGGGUGUAAAGGGAGCGCAGGCGGCACGGCAAGCCUGAGGGGAAACCCCGCGGCGAAACCGCGGGACUGCAUUGGGAACUACCGGGCUGGAGUGCCGGAGGGGUAGGCGGAAUUCCGAGUGUAGCGGUGAAAUGCGGAGAUAUUAGGAGGAACACCAGUGGCGAAGGCGGCCUACUGGACGGUGACUGACGCUGAGGCUCGAAAGCGUGGGGAGCAAACAGGAUUAGAUACCCGUGUAGUC